UGCGUUAGGUCGCUGGCGCGCCGUAUCAGGUUGAAGCGGGACACGAUUUGCCGCCUCAUCGUCUUACUGCGUUACGCUGCACCCCUGGAAUGGCGCAAAGUUCUCGAUGAUCGCAUUAAGUGCUUUCGGUUCUCUCUGGUUUCCACUGAAUAUUCGCUGCAUUCUCAAAAUCCCCAAAAAGGACCCAAGAAAGAGAAGCAAAGCAAAGGGGCAACAAAAAUCCUAUUUUUACACUCCCCCUUCUUCUCUCUCGCGUUCUAUCUGAGGUCUGUUGCGGAGUUCCGAUGGCGGAAAUGUAGCGGAAUCCCGCGAGGAGAAGGGCUCCUGGUUCCGAAAUUAGGUGGUUUUUGUUCUCUUUUCUUCUUGGGUCGGAGAGAUGCCGAUGAUCCGGUACCAGAUAAGGAAUGAGUACGGAUUGGCGGAUCCGGAGCUCUAUGGAGCUGCGGAGAGAGAUGAUCCCGAGGCGCUUCUCGAAGGGGUCGCCAUGGCCGGCCUCGUCGGCAUCUUGAGGCAGCUCGGAGAUCUCGCCGAGUUUGCUGCAGAGAUAUUUCAUAACUUGCAUGAAGAAGUGAUAGCCACUGCUGCUAGAGGGCACGGGCUGAUGCUUCGUGUCCAGCAGCUAGAGGCAGAGUUUCCAUCAAUUGAGAAGGCCUUCUUCACUCAGAUUAAUGAUUCAAAUUUUGCUUGCAAUGAUGGUAUUGACUGGCAUUCUAAUAUUGAAAUGGAUCAGAAUCUAAUCACACGAGGAGAUAUGCCUCGUUUUAUCUUGGACUUUUAUGAAGAAUGUCAUGGUCCACCUCGAUUAUUUACACUGGACAAGUUUGAUGUUGCUGGUGCUGGGGCAUGUUUAAAAAGAUAUUCUGAUCCCUCUUUCUUUAAGAUGGAGUUGCCCUCUUCUAGAAUGCUGGAAAUAGAGCUUCCAAGAGAAAAGAAAGCUCGUAAGAUCAAGAAGGGUUCACGGUGGAAGAAUGGUCAAACACUUGAGUCCUUAUUGGCACCCCAUGCUGACUCUGAUUUGCAGCCCAUAUCUUCUGACCAAGUUUCUGAGAAAACUUUGAGGCAUGUGAGAUUGAAAUCUAGGCACUUGAAUGGUAUGCGGAGAAGCAAUGAAAGAUGCUUAAUGGAGCAUCUACUUGAAAUACAUUCAUCUGAGCAGAACAUUUUGUUUGGAAAUUCCAUAAGCCACUCCCACGUAAAGGUAAAUCCAAUUGAUUCAAAUGAACCAGCUUCUGAAAUACAUGAAAUUGUAGUUGAUGCUUUGGCUGAUCGCACGUUAGUUGGAGACCUAAAUCCAAUUCAGUCUCCUAUUAAAAUAGAAGUCGCAGGGUUGUCUUCAUAUGAAUUGGAGACUCAGAAGAUAAAGAAUAAAGAAUUGUCAGAGGCACUGCAUGACUCAUUUGGUGAAAUAAGAAUGACUGACUCAGACUAUCCUGUUGUGGAGCAAAAAGAAAUGUCCACUGAGUCUGGAUAUAAUUCAGAAGGCAGUGUUGAUGGUGAUGUAUCUGGUGAACCUGAAAAAAGUUCUCCAGCACCUCAGGUGGUCUGUCAGAACAAAUUGUUGGGUAAUGCUGAAGGCAUAUCAGAAUGCGGUGUUGAUGGCUAUAGGUCCGAUGACAUUAGUAGUGAGCUGGAUAAUUUUGUGGAUGCAUUGAAUACAAUAGAAUCAGACAUAGAAACAGAUUCUGAAAGCGGAGCUAAAGCUGAUCCAUGUGUCUUCGACAUGGAAUCUCAUGGAAAGGAUUCUGAUAGAAACGAGGUACAACAGGUGUUGCAAGUUCAAUUUUCAGAACCAGAUUCUGUUGAUAACUCUACCAAAUCAGUGAGCUCGGAUAAUAUGUUUACGAAUGAAAUUACAAGUAUUUCCGACUCAGAUUCAAGUAAUUUGACUGUUGCACAGCCAACUCAAAAGAAUAUGGUUUCUUUUGAUUUGCCUGCCAAUUCAGAAGUAUGCCCUGGUAAAACCUUUGAAAAGACUACCAAAACAGAUUUUGAAGAUGCAGCAAAAUCUGAUCAGGGUGUCUUCAACAUGGAAUCUCAUGGAAAGGAUUCUGAUGGUAACGAGGCGCAAUGGGAGUUGCAAGCUCAUUUUCCAGCACCAAAUUCUGUUGAUAACUCCACUAAAUCAUUGAGCUUGAACAAUAUGUUUAAGAGUGAAACGGCUUGUGUUUCUGACUCAGUUAUUAGAACUAGUUCAAUUGUUGCAGAGCCAAUCCAAAGGAAUAUGGUUUCUGUUGAUUUGCCUGCUAAUUCAGAAAUUUGCCCUGGCAAAACCCACGAUAGAACUCCUGGAGAGCUCUGGCAAAAUAACUCUACCAAAUCAUUGAGCUCAGAUAAUAUGUUUAAGAAUGAAAUUACAAGUAUUUCUGACUCAGAUUCAAGUAGUUCGACUAUUGCACAGCCAACUCAAAGGAAUAUGGUUUGUUUUGAUUUGCCUGCCAAUUCAGAAAUAUGCCCUGGUAAAACCUUUGAAAUGAGUACUGAAACAGAUUUUGAAGAUGCAGCAAAAUCUGAUCAGGGUGUCUUCAACAUGGAAUCUCAUGGAAAGGAUUCUGACAGUAAUGAGGUGGAACGAGAGUUGCAAGCUCAUUUUCCAGCACCAGAUUCUGUUGAUAACUCCACUAAAUCAUUGAGCUUGAACAAUAUGUUUAAGAGUGAAAUGGCAUGUGUUUCUGACUCAGAUAUUAGAACUAGUCCAAUUGUUGCACAGCCAAUCCAAAUGAAUAUGGUUUCUAUUGAUUUGCCUGCUGCUUCAGAAAUUUGCCCUGGCAAAACCCAUGAUAGAACUACUGAAGAGAUCUGGCAAAAUAACGAGGCUAUGGAACUUAAUUCUUUGGAUCAUUUUGUAUCUAAUUCUUGUGUUAUAGAUUCAACUUCUGUUCUUGUUAGCAUUCAUCCUCAAUGGAGUACUUAUGUAUCCCAAUCCAUUACCAGGGAGCAAAAUGGCUUACCUUUAGGUUUUCCUCUUGAGAGUGAUCAUCCUGAAAUGCUCCAUCCUGCAGAGCAUGUUGAAGAACUGAUUUCAGAAGAUAUAGCAGAAUCAUUUGACAUGCCUGAUCACCUUUCUCAAAUAGAAUGCAGAAGUAUGUUGAGAGAAGCUCCUUCAGGUUGUAUUGAAGACUUAUUGAUUUUAUUACCUGCAUCUGUAGUAGGAGAGUCACAAGAAUCAGUGGAACCUGAUACUAGGGCUUGUUCAGGUGUUGGCAAAUCACCAAUCAUCUCUGCUUUUUCCCCUGCCAUCAAUUCUAUUACUUCACAUCUUGAUGGCUUGGUUACAGAUCUGGAAAAUGGUGUGCAACCUGAAGAUGCACAUGCAGAGAGAUCAUCUGGCGUUGUGGAAGACAGUCAUGACAUAGCUGAAGAGUUCGAUGGUUCAUGCCUUGAGACUAAAGAUGAAGAUGUUCCUGAAAAUAGACGUCCUUCAGACUAUACUGUAGAGCUAAAUUCAGAAGAUAAGGCAAUCACACUGGACAUGACCAAUCAUCAUUCCCAAGCACGAGAUGAGUGUACUCUUGGAAAGGUUCCUACAGGAUUUGGAGAAGACUUAACACUUCCUUCAAAUGGGUGCAUAGGAGAGCUGCAUGAAUCUAUGAAACAAUAUACAGAAGCUUAUUUAGGUGGGAACAUAUCAGCUACCAUCCCUUCUUUGUCCCCUGAUAUCAGCUUUACUGUUCACCUUGAAGACUCAGCUGCAGGCAUGGAAAAAGUAGCUGCACCUAGUGAACAUUUAGCAUGCUUGAGUUCAAGCCUUGAAAAUGCUGAAGAAAUGGCUAAGGUUAAUAUUUCAAUGCCCAAGACACUGUCCCCUGAGUUGGAGUACUUUUCUGAUGCUGAGGAGCCUCAAGAGUUCCCUCAUGUGGUCUCAGCAGGGUUUACCCAUUUGUAUUCUGUAGAAGACACCUGUCCUACUGAUGUGCAGUUGCAGUGUAGUGUUCCCAACCAUGAGUUGAUUGAAUGUCCCAUUCCUGUUGAUAAUAAUUUGAAAUUGCUAGAUGAGCCCACAGAACAUCUCUCUCAGGAGAAUACACUGCAGACAGGAGGGCCUGCACAGUGUGAUGACCUGGCAGCUGAGAAUGCAAUUUUUAAUGAUAACAAUGGUAAUGCACGUCCUUCUUCAACCUAUACUCCAGAAACAUUAGGCCUUCUAGUAAAGCCACAAGAAAAUAGUAUUCCUGAUGAUGCCUUUCUGUACCAGCACGUAGUGGAGAACCAAGAGACAAUUAGUCCAAAGGACACAACAGCAUUGGAUUCUCAAAGCACUCCGCACUUGACUCUUCCUUCAAGUGAGGAAGAUCAACUUGUGUCUGCUCCUACUGCUUCCAACCCUGAGUUAUCCAUUUUAGAUUCAUCUGAUCCAUCUGCUUCUGGAUUACUCAGUGGUGUUUGCCAAACAAAACUAUCUGAAGGUGUCCAAAAAGAUCUGCAUUCUGAUAACAAUGAAGUAAAUUCAGGAUGUUCCUCAGAAAGCAAACAAGAUCUUAGUUUAAGUGCUUUGCCACAUGGUGUUUGUGAAAGUGCAGAAGAGAAGCCUCCAACUAUUCAUUUCCUUUCAGAACCAACAAUUCCACUCGAAGAAGCAGCCUCCAAAUCACAGGUUGUCAGUGAACUGAAUGUGUUCCCUGUACAUCAAGAGGGUGAGCAUCUUGAUCCAGGCAUUCCAACUAGUUCUAUUGACCUUAAUGAUGAACUUUCAGAACCAGGGCCAGAACAGAGGUCCCAUGACUCUGCUAGUGAUGGAGAUGUUAGUGAGUUGGAUAUAUCACCAUUGAACAAAGCCAUGUGUGGGCAAGCGGAGCCAGAAACUUAUGUUUCUUCUGCAUGCAGUUCUGCAGGUAUCUCAAGUUCUUUGGCUUCUAAUGUUUCAGCUGUCACAUUACCACCCUUUGCAAGCUUUGACAUUGCCGUUUUGGAAACUUCUUCUCAAUUGCCCUUUGAGCCACGGUUUGAUGAACCGGCCUCCAGUUUUCCUUUACAAGGUGUCAAAGAACCACCUCCGCUUCCCCCACUCCCCCCACUCGAGUGGAGAAGGGGGAAGCUUCAACUUUGCCCUCUAUCAUCAAGUGGAAAUUUAUUUCAAUCUCUGAGUGGAACAAAUUCGCUAAUGGCAGCAUCAGCUGCAGAUUGGAAGCAUGGACAUGGUUUAUUGGAAGAUGAAGGUGAAAUGGUUAAGCUGGCAAACGAAGUUGUUGUUAUGCCGGUGUUGGAAGCUAAGAGUUCUCAGCAUGAUUUGUUCAAAUCAGAUGGAGAAAAGAUGCAUCCCUUUAGGUUUUCUGAACUGCCACCUAGUGCUGGUGAUGAGAGUUAUCAACAUGAUGCUUCAUUUUUGGAGGGGAAAACUGUGCAUCCUUCCACCCCUUCUUUAAUAGUUCCAGUUGUAGAAAAUGAGAAGCAACUAUCCAUUCAUGAUGAAGUGGGGGAAGUGAUGUUGCAGCCAUCAAACCCAUUUGCAUCAUUAUCGAUAUUGGAUGAUAAGAUCUCUCAGCAUCCCACAGUAUUACAUGGAGAAAUACUACAGCCUUCAGAGGAUGCAAGUUCUCAACGUGAUUGGUUGCUAACAAGUUUAGAGUCGGAGACAUCUCAAGAGUUAGGGCAUGGUCACUUAAGUUUAGACAGAGAGACUGUGCAGCCUUUGAACCCAUUCUUGGUUGGAUCAGAUAGAGAAGAUGAGAAGCAUCAGCAUGGCUGUGGAAUUUGUGGAGGUGAAAAUAUGCAGCUUCUGCAAUCAUCAAUGCGAAUACCAACAACAGCACCUGAGUUGCCUAAGCUUGGUUGUGUAACUUUGAGGGAAGAAAAUCAAUGUUCUCAAUUUGAUGUUUUACCACCACCAGAUGAUGAGAACUUAAAUGUAGAGCCUCAUUCCAUUCGUAGUCGGCUGAGAGAUCCUCUGAUUGAGGCUGUCGCUGCUCAUGAUAGAAGCACGAUGAGAAAGGUAUCAGAGAUGGUUCUAUCUUCCAAUAAGCCAAAGGCAGAUGAAAGGGAUUCAUUACUAGAGCAGAUAAGAAACAAGUCCUUUAACCUGAAACCAUCAGUUGUCACAAAAUCAAACGUCAAGGGUCCUCCAACAAAUCUAAAGGUUGCUGCUAUCAUAGAGAAAGCAAAUGCAAUCCGCCAGGCAUUUGUGGGAAGUGAUGAAGACGAUGAUAAAGAUACUUGGAGUGAUUCUUAAGCAUGGACCAUUUCUUGAAACUAUUACAGUGCAGUUUGAGUGAUUAGUAAGCACCAAUCACUUCUCGAACUUUUGGAGCUUUCCAUAUCAGAAACAUGCCAAUCAUGUGAGUCUUCCUUGAGCUAUACCGUUGUUGAACUGACAGAAAUGAGAUGCAUCAGUGAUAACAAGGCAUAAACCAAAGGAUCACCACAAAAGGAAGUGGUUUGGUUCAUGUGUAUAUAUUGUGAUGUAUAUAAUAUUCUUUUUGAUCUUUUCUUCUGUGUCAAAAUGUAUUCUUUAGUCAGCUUGUAUUCACCAGUGAGGGCUAUACAGUGAGGUCUUGUUGCCCGCCAGCGCAGACUUAGUGCAGUAUUUAUGUGACCAAAGGUUGCGGAAAAUUAAUGUGCACUGCAGAUUUCAUAUCUGGUUCCUCACUUUCAGCUUUUGCACCAGAUUGGAACCUUAGAAUCUCAGAGCUGCAAUUAACGAUGCAGACUGUAACUUUAAAGUCAGGUGAGCAAUAGGUGCUUUGUGAGCAUUGGGAGGUUAAGCAUUAGUUCACAUAUCUGCAGGCUGGACUCAUUUUGAUCUUACUCCAAGUUAUCUAUAUAUCAGAAAUGUUUUCAGCAACAAACUGAAUCACGUACAGCAAAUCACAAGCAUAACUAGUAUAUGUUCAAACUGGUCUCGGCACUGGGUGUGUGGGAACUUGUAUAUGUUUGAACUAGUGUCGGAACUGGCUAUGCAGGGACUACCAUUGAUCUCACCAUGUCUGAGCUAGUCUUUAGACGUUGCAUGUUGUCAGGGGGUAUAAGGUUUCGAUUGAUUUGUGAUCAAUUUUCAUAUCAAAUUGAUUUGAAUGGGUUUUUU
Elaeis guineensis (African oil palm) is the source of this 7015-nucleotide non-coding RNA. NCBI's taxonomy places the organism in Eukaryota, Viridiplantae, Streptophyta, Magnoliopsida, Arecales, Arecaceae. The record is from RefSeq and is a predicted model, not a curated record.